UUUCCGUAGGUGAACCUGCGGAAGGAUCAUUAAAGUUAUAGUCCCCCUGCCCCUCCGGGCUGGGGUCUUCUAUACCACCCUUUGUUUAUUACACCUUUGUUGCUUUGGCAGGCCUGCCCUCGGGCUGCUGGCUCCGGCCGGCUCGUGCCUGCCAGAGGACCUAAACUCUGUUUGUAUAUGAAGUCUGAGUACUAUAUAAUAGUUAAAACUUUCAACAACGGAUCUCUUGGUUCUG
Molecule: unclassified non-coding RNA, 235 nt
Filed under: plant metagenome
Description: partial contains small subunit ribosomal RNA, internal transcribed spacer 1, and 5.8S ribosomal RNA
Source: RNAcentral